AAGGAUUUAAGUUAAAUAAACUAAUAGCCUUCAAAGCUGAAAAUAAAGGGGUCUUUAAGCCUUA
RNAcentral lists this transfer RNA (64 nucleotides) under Desmopachria sp. ITV9392. Its description in RNAcentral is "tRNA-Trp". It matches the Rfam family "tRNA". From Rfam's summary of the family: Transfer RNA (tRNA) molecules are approximately 80 nucleotides in length. RNAcentral also lists the same sequence under 1 other name. The record is from RNAcentral. Lineage: Eukaryota; Metazoa; Arthropoda; Insecta; Coleoptera; Dytiscidae.